AUUGAACGCUGGCGGCAUGCCUUACACAUGCAAGUCGAACGGCAGCGCGGGAGCAAUCCUGGCGGCGAGUGGCGAGCGGGUGAGUAAUACAUCGGAACGUGCCCAAUCGUGGGGGAUAACGCAGCGAAAGCUGUGCUAAUACCGCAUACGAUCUACGGAUGGAAGCAGGGGGACCGCAAGGCCUUGCGCGAGUGGAGCGG
Molecule: ribosomal RNA, 200 nt
Filed under: uncultured bacterium
Lineage: Bacteria
Description: partial 16S ribosomal RNA
Rfam family: Bacterial small subunit ribosomal RNA
Source: RNAcentral